This 670-nucleotide ribosomal RNA is filed under the name uncultured bacterium. RNAcentral's name for it is "bacterial SSU rRNA". It matches the Rfam family "Bacterial small subunit ribosomal RNA", at positions 9 to 694 of the family's 1533-position model. The record is from RNAcentral.
GAGUUUGAUCCUGGCUCAGGAUGAACGCUGGCGGCGUGCUUAACACAUGCAAGUCGAGCGAUGAAGUUUCCUUCGGGAAACGGAUUAGCGGCGGACGGGUGAGUAACACGUGGGUAACCUGCCUCAUAGAGUGGAAUAGCCUUCCGAAAGGAAGAUUAAUACCGCAUAACGUUGAAAGAUGGCAUCAUCAUUUAACCAAAGGAGCAAUCCGCUAUGAGAUGGACCCGCGGCGCAUUAGCUAGUUGGUGGGGUAACGGCCUACCAAGGCGACGAUGCGUAGCCGACCUGAGAGGGUGAUCGGCCACAUUGGGACUGAGACACGGCCCAGACUCCUACGGGAGGCAGCAGUGGGGAAUAUUGCACAAUGGGGGAAACCCUGAUGCAGCAACGCCGCGUGAGUGAUGAAGGUUUUCGGAUCGUAAAGCUCUGUCUUUGGGGAAGAUAAUGACGGUACCCAAGGAGGAAGUCACGGCUAACUACGUGCCAGCAGCCGCGGUAAUACGUAGGUGGCGAGCGUUAUCCGGAUUUACUGGGCGUAAAGGGAGCGUAGGCGGAUGAUUAAGUGGGAUGUGAAAUACCCGGGCUCAACUUGGGUGCUGCAUUCCAAACUGGUUAUCUAGAGUGCAGGAGAGGAGAGUGGAAUUCCUAGUGUAGCGGUGAAAUGCGUAGA